UGGCAGCGCUCUCUGCGUGGCUCGCUCUCACUCGCGCGCACACACACAAACCCGAUCAGAUGCUGCAGGACCGGCCACUUUGCGAGGGCAACAACACGGGAGGGUUUGUAUUACUCCAGGUGCCUGACAGGGCUGGCCGGGAAGAACUGCUGACCUGUCUAAAGAAAUAUAUCUGCGUCUCCCGGAAUGGCAGGACAGAUGGUGCCCGUUCGCACCGCGGCGACUUCUCUAGAUGGCACACACCGAGCGGAGCUGAUGAGUGAUAACACUGGGAGUUAUUUAGCUCUCCAUUGGAAUGUGACAGAUCACACUCCGGGGCGUGCAGCACAAGCGCUCCGCGGAGCGAGGGCCGGAGCCCGGGAACGCGGCGCAGCGCGGGGGGAAGCGGCCGGGCGGAGGCUGCGCGGCAGCGGCACCAGGCCUGCGAGGGGCCGGGGUCAGGCCGAGCUGCAGGCGGGGCAAACAGGGGCAGACGCUCUCCUCAGCAGGGCGCUUAUAGAAACAUAUGACCCGAUCCAGAGAAAGUUACUGACAGCCUGGAUGAGUCGAACACAAAUGUUUAUACAUCUAAAUUUGUUUCUUUCCUUCCCCGCCCCCCGCUUCCUUUCAUGAUUUUUCUCCCCCAUCUUUUAAGAAAUAGACUGCGAAGAAGUUUAGACCACGAGGUAAUCAUAAUAACCUAUAUAGAGAUUUUGAAAGAGAGACCCACUUCACAAUUUUAUAUCGAGGAGCAAAAUAUUCUGGCGAAGUCUGGGGUCAUCACCUACAACAGAGCAAUGUUCUCUCCCUGUUUAAUAUACAUGGUGUGGGAAAUGGAGGGAAAACAUAGCUAGCACCUGUACUGCUAAAGGAAAAAAAACACUAAAUUACUACAUCAUAUUUUGGGGCUAUUUUGCAGGACAUUCUUAAAAAUAGACUAAUAUUUAAUUAUAGCUCUAAUGAUUUUCUCUGCGUGACUGCUAGCUAAUAGUAAGGAGGAAAUGGGGUUUCUAUCGAGUUUUUGCAUUUGAUAUCUUUAAAAAAAUAGUAAUUUUCCUAUGUGUUAAUAGCGCAUCUGGAACUGCAAGUGACCAACCUGGACCAACUUUUAAUUAACACACUGACCUGCCGAAGAACCAAAACUCCCUUAAAAAAAAAAAAAAAAGUAAAAAAAAAAAAGUACAUAUAUACAUACACCGCCGUAUCGGCGUGACCCUGGAAACCCCAGGGCUCUCUUUGCCCUUUUUGUAGAGAGGAGGUGAUUUUCCAAAGGGGCGAGAAGAUGCGCAAGUUCAGCACCCGCCCGCCUCGCCUCUCCGGGCCGCCGUCGGCCGCGCAGCCCCGCUCAAGCUGCGCGGGCGGCGGCGGCCCCAGGAAGGGGGGAGGCGGUCGCAGCGGGCCGGGCAUUAUGACCGGAGCCCCUGGUCAGCCUGUGCGAGGAAAAGGCCGUGGCAGAAAGGCAGAGGACUUGGGCUCUGUGGGAGGUGUGGUACACACACCAGUGAGGGGGUGUACACAAGCUAACGCGUGGGUGCUACAAGCUCUAGACCCUGUUUAGCAGCUCCCCCACACGAAGCAUAAAGAGAGGUCAGCAGCCUGAAAGAUAAACUCCUUUUCUUUCUGCUGUUGCCUUGUCAAUGCUUGCUUUGUAUUAUUUUUUCCCUUCAUGGUUAAAUUAUUUGUGGUUUUAAAAUUAUUUUUUUUCCCAUUCACAUACACACUUCAGGCAGGCUGUAUGCCUGAUGCGGCACCCACCCCCCAAAACCGGCACUGGAGUACGUUACUGCCGAGUUACACUUUAACUUCUCUGCAGGUAAUAAUUAAAGACCUUCUUUCUAAAUCUCUUUUCCCCACAGAAACACCGAGGCUCUCUUUCGCAAUAGAUUAUAUUGAUCACACACACGGGCACUCUCUCCUCGGAGCUGCUGUCUGUGAGCUCUCAAUUCUGUGCACUCUGUGCUACUUUUCCCAGAUCUUCUACCAUUUUUUUCCCAAUCUGAAAGGUUUAUUUAGGGAUGCAUUUCUAUGAACACUCCCAAAUCUCCCCAAGAGAAAGCUCCACGUGCAAAAGGGGACAGCCAGUCACUCAGAUGCACACCUGCAGGCUUUGGCCAUAAGUCUGAAUUUUGUCCCACAGUUCCACUGUGUGUGAGUUUAAAAAUAACAUAUAUAGAUGUAACAAAGUCAUCUGACAUCAGUAAUGGAGUAUCUCCGUCUAGUGAAAAGAACUCCAACUUUUUUUAGCGGUGACACUUUCCAAGAAAACCUUCAGCCUUGUCCUAACAGCUGCACUGAAAGUUUCAGGGGCUCUGAGUUACCUGAGAUCACAAAUUAAUCUGUCAGAGAAGUGUGGCACACACCUGAUAUCAGCAGAGGGUCAAGAGCUGGCCAGUUCCAGCUGGUCCCGUAUUUGAUUUACUUCAGGCUGUUAAGAUGUAUGCUGUGGUGUUUUGAUAAGAAAAAAGGAGUCAGCAGUUUGAUUUGGCAAUUCUUUCCUUUAUUUUUUUUUUCUUUUUUUUUUUUCCCUCUGAAGAUAGCCGCAGUUUAAGCUAAGGAAUUUGUUGUUGCUGGUGGGAUGGUUUAUAGUGGAGUAUUCUGGUCUGCAUGGGGCUAUCUCAUCAUGUAUUGUUAACACUUAACUGUGUUUCUUACUCUCCCAAGUGAGCCAGACCGUGCCAUGAACUUUUAUGCAGCUUGUCUGCCUGAGGCCUCCAGCAUCUCUGGCUGGUGACUUUGUUGGGGCUCACUUGGAGCAACAGCAAAGGCAGUGACCAUCACCCUAAUGGGUGGGUCAUGCCAACAACCUGCUCAGUCUUGGUGGAGCGAGCCCUAUGACAGCUUUCCCCUCACAGCUCUCCCACAGGGCCUUGUCCCUGAGUUUCAUCAGAUGCCACAGAAAUAUUUCAAUUGUGGGUUUUUUAUACUGUACUGAUGUACUCAUACAAGCUGAGUGUGGAGGCUGCUUGCUCAUAGCUGACUUAAACUAUUAUUUGAAGAUAUCUCCUGCACCUGCUGUGCCCUCUCUUACAGCCCCAAAAACUUUGGCUCAGAGAGAGUUAAAUCACAGUAAUUACACCAGGGAUGUUAUCUCAGACAUGUGCGUGUCUGUGAAGCUAAAGAACACCUGCAAUACUCCAGACCAGAGGACCACUGCACAAAUUACACCCCUCAGAGGUGGCACCAAUGGGUGAUUAAACAGGGGACUAAGGAGCAGAUCAGAUUUUUUUAUUCUGUCCCUGAUUUUUCUUUUCCUUUCUUCUUAUUUUAGCUUCUCUGCCUCUAAAAUAGGGAAGUAAGAGUCACCGACCCUAUUGCCUUUCCAUGAGGCAAUUGGUGUUUGAAAAAAACCCCCAGAAAUCCUCAGAGGAUGUAAUCUGUGAUAAUGUAUAUUCUAAGGUAGAUGUGCUGCCAUUCCUUGUAUUAGGGUUGGCAAACAUUUCUCAGAAGAGGCCACAUUUUCUGUUGCAUGUAGCUUUAGAAAAAACAUCAUCACUUAGGCUGAAAACUGAUAUGCUGACUGUCUGUACUGGGCAGAUUAUUUUGAAAAUACCUGCCAAAACAAUUUGUCCAUUUCUAAGAACAAGGUUAUGGAAAAAUAAACAGUUUUGCUCAUACUAAAAUGAAAACUUUUUUCCUUUGAAAUGCUCUGCUGCCCUCCGGCUUUGAAGCACAGCCUCAAAAUGUGACCCUUUUUAUUUAAAAUGUGUUUUUCCCCUCUCUGUCUGAAAAUUUAUCUAAAUGUGUCUAACUUACAAAUAUUAGAAAUGGUGUCAUAAACAGAUGGCCAGCAAUGAUUUCUUUUAUUCUAGCAGGAAAAAGGCAUUGCUAAAGGUUGGCGCUCUGUGCAAACAGAAGCUUAAGGAUACAGUGGUGAGGCUAGAUUUCCACUUUAAUCCCCACAUGCAAGUUUCCUCCAUGAGCCUGAGCUUUGGCGCAGAAUCUGAGAGGUAGGAAUCCUAUUUCUCCUGAGCUCCAAGUGAUUUGAAGGUUGUGUCAGGAAGAAAGGUCUCCGUGUGAAUACAACACAGAGGAAAAAAACCACCUAGCCCAUGACAGAGCAGGCAAUAUAAGCAGCCAAGCCAGCCAGAGAGAAAAGCUGGGACUGGUGCUUGGAGGCGGGAGCCUGGGACUGAUUAGGUAAGGAGACACAGAGGUUGUGCAGAGACAGUAGAGAGAAACUGUUCUGUUGAGGAGCCUGGAGGGCAGGCAAGAGGGCAAGGCUGGAAAAACCAACUAAUGUUGUCAGCCAAGAGCAAGGAUUCUUAAUUGCAGGAUGUCCAGAGUAGCUGGGCUGAAUUUCAUUUGAAGCAUGGUAGAAAUUCUGAAAGUCAAAAUGUGGAGGUUUUUUCCACUAUUUAUAGCCAAUGCAGUUUAGCCACAUAAUUAAUGCUUUUUAUUUGGAAUAGAGUCUGCUUUCUAAUGCUGAAAAAGAACUGACCUUCAGGAGAAGUGUUCCUGAGAUGAUUCAAAACAUAUUUCAAUUUGUGUGUGUGUGACCACUGAACUAAGGAAAUGUGUUAUAUAUUCAACACUAGCCACAUCGUGGAUGUAAAGGAAAUUACUUACCUGAGGGCUUCAGAGCACCUCGAUUCAGCUUCCAUACAUUAGGAUACAUGACCACACAGAUUAUAUUCCACAAGUUUUCUGAAGCAGGAAUGAAACCCUGCAAGGUACCCUUCCUCUGGGAACAGAUCACUACUUUGUAGGUUUUAUUCACUGGAUUCCUGUAUAAUUUGUCACAGAACUGGGUACAGCUCUGUACAAGAUAGUGAAUUACAAGCGCAGAAAGCAUGACUUGCUGGCAGAAUGGUUGCUGAAUUUUACCUGCUGAGUUUGCUUCCAUUCCCCUUCCACCUUCCAAAGAUUCUACAGUGUGGGGAAAGUUGCCUCAAGAGGCAAUAAUUAGUUGAGAUUUUCAUAUGACGAGGGCCCACCUUGAAAUUUUGGAGUCUGGUGGACUGCAGUGAAUCACUCACUUUGCAUGGACUAGGCCAAACAAUGCAGAACGCCAAACAGGUUGGAAAAUCAAGUAGAUAAUGUCUCUAAUUGGAUACCCAAAAUUAGCAGGCAUUUUGUACUUUAAUCUCAUUUGUUUGGAACACAGAUUUAUAAAAAGGAUAGGAUGAUAUAAUCCCUUCAGUUUCAGGCUUUAAAAAAGAAGCACACAGAUGCUAUAGUGUGGUGGGGAGAGGAACAGGAAAAGAACAAGAUUAGGGUUUGUAUACCCCAGAUAUGGCCCCAUGCAGGUAAAUUUAACACUGGAAACACCUCCUGAAGAAAGCUUUGCCCAUGCCCUACUCUGCAAGCCAAAGGGGUGCUUGUGAAGAGGAUCAAGCAGAAAAGCCCCACUGCCCUGUCAUAUUGUGUUCAUAUUUCAUUGCACAAGAGCAGAUGAAACAAGGGCUUUGUAAAGUUAUUUGUAAAAAGCGGGAAGGAGAGGGAGGAAAAAAGGGAGAACAAGCCCAGGUACCACAGAUCAUGGAAAUAAGGUGCUGACUCACAAGAGACUAAAAGUGUGUGUCUGUACCAGUGAAAGCACUUGUAUCUGGGGACUCUUCACAUCAGGUGUAUGCCAUGGUAACUUGCCUUUUGGUUACUGCACAGCCUCUUUCCCUUUGUUUCUGGGCAUUUUUUUCUCUUACAUAGUCUGAUGUUUGAGGAAAAUUUUCUUUUUCUCCCCCUGGAAAAUUCCUUGUCAUCUCCUAGCACGUGAUGGUGUAACAAUAAAGCAGGCGGGGAUUGGUCCUGAGCAAUGUGAUUAGCUUUCAUUCUCUCACUUCUUACUGGCUUUACAUGUUUAUAGAGCCUGAAAUACUCUUUUAAUUUGUGUGUGUCUUAACAAUGUUAAUCAUAAUGGCAAAAGGGCAAUCAAACAGGACAGCCAAAGUACUUUCUAACUUUUUUAUUUCUCAAUAAGCACCUAUUUAACUCCUUUUUUAGUGGGUAGCACUGAAACCUAUUCAUUUGGAACUGGACUAAAAUCUUCAAAGUAUUUCAGGGGGAUGGAUUUAACACUAACAGUCCUACAGAUUGCCAUACAUCUGUCUGGAUUUAAACAAACAACAGGGAAAAAACCUACUCUUAAAAGUCUGAAUUUCUGUUUUCUAUGUUAGACUAUAGAAGAGCUCCAGAAUCUCUUCUUUUAGUCAGAGACAGGAAGUGCCCUCACCAGGCACAUGGUUCUGACCUUGGCAGGAGGAUCCUUGGCCUGGAGUCAAGCAGUUGCUGCACUCACUGAAACAGCCAAAUUAGCUGUCUGCUCAGCCAUGGAUUAAAAUUCAUUCACUGAUCCAAGACAGUAAGUGAGACAAUAAUUUUCUACUCCUGCUUUGUUUCGCAGCAGAUUCUCAUUCAGAAUUAACCUGCAGUUAAGCAUCAGGUUUUUUUUUACCCAGCAGUAACCACAGUGGCAUCGUAAAAUUAUACCUCCAGUAAAUUCAACAAGCAGGAUAAAUAAAUGCAGAUGUAAAAAGAGAAAACUCAUCCUGUUCUCAGUAGCACAGAGACUGCAUGAGAGCAGAGGACAGAGAUUCAGGAGUCCUGAUGCUAUCAGCAGUCACCAUUAUUUUGAGAGGUAACUUGUAACAAAUAAAGUGUCAUUUCCUCUGAGCCAAAGACCUCUAACAGAACUGCCUUUACCACCACAGCCUAACUCCUUUCUUCUCUAACUAACCACAGGCUUGAUCGAAAUGUUAGAGAGUAAAUUGCUUAAUGCUUUCUAGAGACCUCAAAUAUGUGAAGUACCCAGUGCAUAAAAGAGAGAGCUUAUUUCAAAACCAAGCAUAGCAAAACUGACCUGCUGGAGAAAAGAGCCUCUGCCUUGUUCCUGCUCACAUUAGGUUUUGUGCUUGGAUUUCCUAACAAAACAACGUAUGCUUCCAAGUCCAUCACUUUUAAACCAAUAUACAAGACAGAAAAACUAAUACAAUCUAAUUAUGCAAUGCAAAGGUGACCAUCUGGCUGCUUAAGAAUUGCAAUUGACCCAGAUAACAGCAAAUGUUUUUCAUAUCAGAGGUAAAAAAUUUAGGUUGGAAGUCCAUAUCUCUCCUAUUAUCAUUGAUAAUGAGAAAACAAAAUUUCAAGACAUAGUACAAAAGUCAUGUUGAUGGAAAACAGUAUAUCUUCUGCUGUAUGUAUGUAUAUCGUAUACAUCAUCAGCCUCUUUGCAGAGCAAGAGUCCUCCCACCAAGGCCAGUAAUAAUAGAAGACAAUAGGAAAAAAAGCUUUUCUCAGUGUAUCUGACCAAGUCUAAGAUCUGGUAUUCAUGUCAAUAAAGCUUUACUAUUGCUUGUGAUGAUAAUCCUGUAUGAUCCCACCCCUGAGGUGGCUAUAACUCGUCAUGAAUGAAUGGAUCAUUAUAUAAAAGUAUGUACCUACUUUGAUGCACAGUAAUCUGACUGUAUCUCUAUGUGAUGUGAAAGGCCCCCAAACAACAGUAGGGGUGGUUACAAUAAAUCUUUUGAGUAUGAAUUUUGCACUCACUGCAAUAGCACUGCAAUAUUUUGUAGACACAUGUUCCAAGGGAAAAGGUUUGUUCAUAAAUACACUGAUGAUAUAAGUGACUUAUAACUGGACACUCCCAAUGUGAUUUUAGAGAGAGGAGUAAAAUAAAAGAUUAUUCUGAUUUUCUGGGUAUGAUGAUGGCUUUUCUGCUAGCAGUGGCUGGUCCAUCCUUGUCACGUGUGCACAAAACCUCCACAUUCACUCACCCAUACCACCAAUAUAUAGGAAAAGAAAGGCAGAAUUGUCUGGGAAAGUAAAUUAAGGAUGAGGAAGAUAUUUUGGACCUGCUGUGUGGCCUCACACCUGGGGAAGGUUUGCAAAGAAGUAAAGAGAAGCCUUUGCCUAGGCAAGAGCCAGCCUCUCUAAAGGCAGAUGAGCACUGGUUUCUCACCAAGUUCAACUUGUCGAGAAGAGCUACAGUGUUUAAACUACUUUUGUGGGGUGAUUUUUCCCUUUUUAUUUUUUUUC
Long non-coding RNA from Motacilla alba alba, 7950 nucleotides. RefSeq lists it as uncharacterized. The record is from RefSeq and is a predicted model, not a curated record. Lineage: Eukaryota; Metazoa; Chordata; Aves; Passeriformes; Motacillidae. The transcript has 3 exons.